AAUGAACGUUGGCGGCGUGGAUUAGGCAUGCAAGUCGCGCGAGAAAUUUCUUCGGAAGAUGGAAAGCGGCGGAAGGGAGAGGAUAAGGUAGAAAUCUACCCUCGGGACGGGGAUAGCUGCGGGAAACUGCUGGUAAUACCCGAUAAUAUCUUUGGAUCAAAGGUGUGAUUCCGCCUGGGGAUGAGUCUACUUCCUAUUAGCUAGUUGGCAGGGUAAUGGCCUACCAAGGCAACGAUGGGUAGCGGGUGUGAGAGCAUGACCCGCCUCACUGGGACUGAGAACUGCCCAGACACCUACGGGUGGCUGCAGUCGAGAAUCUUCGGCAAUGGGCGCAAGCCUGACCGAGCGACGCCGCGUGCGGGAUGAAGGCCUUCGGGUUGUAAACCGCUGUCGUAGGGGAACAAAUGUAGUGGGGUUCUCCCCAUUACUUGAGUGAUCCUAGGAGGAAGGGGAGGCUAAGCUCGUG
Molecule: ribosomal RNA, 466 nt
Filed under: uncultured bacterium
Lineage: Bacteria
Description: bacterial SSU rRNA
Rfam family: Bacterial small subunit ribosomal RNA
Source: RNAcentral